CCCCCUGUAGCUCAAUGGCAGAGCGAGCGGCUGUAGACCGCUAGGUUGUCGGUUCAACUCCGGCCGGGGGGA
RNAcentral lists this transfer RNA (72 nucleotides) under Candidatus Naiadarchaeum limnaeum. RNAcentral describes it as "tRNA-Tyr". It matches the Rfam family "tRNA". Rfam says of the family: Transfer RNA (tRNA) molecules are approximately 80 nucleotides in length. Their secondary structure includes four short double-helical elements and three loops (D, anti-codon, and T loops). Lineage: Archaea; Nanobdellati; Candidatus Undinarchaeota; Candidatus Undinarchaeia; Candidatus Naiadarchaeales; Candidatus Naiadarchaeaceae. The record is from RNAcentral.